UACGGAGGGUGCGAGCGUUGUCCGGAAUCACUGGGCGUAAAGGGCGCGUAGGCGGUCCGGUAAGCGCGUGGUGAAAGCUCGGCGCUCAACGCCGAGUCGGCCGUCGAUACUGUUGGGCUUGAGCACUGUAGAGGCUAAUGGAAUUCCCGGUGUAGCGGUGAAAUGCGCAGAUAUCGGGAAGAACACCCGUGGCGAAGGCGGCUCUCUGGGACGGUACUGACGCUGAGACGCGAAAAGCGUGGGGAGCGAACAGG
This 254-nucleotide ribosomal RNA is filed under the name uncultured bacterium. Its description in RNAcentral is "partial 16S ribosomal RNA". It matches the Rfam family "Bacterial small subunit ribosomal RNA", at positions 524 to 776 of the family's 1533-position model. The record is from RNAcentral.